Molecule: ribosomal RNA, 462 nt
Filed under: uncultured bacterium
Lineage: Bacteria
Description: partial 16S ribosomal RNA
Rfam family: Bacterial small subunit ribosomal RNA
Source: RNAcentral
GACGAACGCUGGCGGCGUGCUUAACACAUGCAAGUCGAACGGUAAGGCCUUUCGGGGUACACGAGUGGCGAACGGGUGAGUAACACGUGGGUGAUCUGCCCUGCACUUCGGGAUAAGCCCGGGAAACUGGGUCUAAUACCGGAUAGGACUGCGCGGUGCAUGCCGUGUGGUGGAAAGAUUUAUCGGUGCAGGAUGGGCCCGCGGCCUAUCAGCUUGUUGGUGGGGUAAUGGCCUACCAAGGCGACGACGGGUAGCCGGCCUGAGAGGGCGACCGGCCACACUGGGACUGAGACACGGCCCAGACUCCUACGGGAGGCAGCAGUGGGGAAUAUUGCACAAUGGGCGCAAGCCUGAUGCAGCGACGCCGCGUGUGGGAUGACGGCCUUCGGGUUGUAAACCUCUUUCAGCAGGGACGAAGCGUGAGUGACGGUACCUGCAGAAGAAGCACCGGCCAACUACGUG